UCAUUGCUGCCAUUUCAUUUUUCAUAAUUAUGUUUUUCUCGUUUCAGAUCCGCGUUAUCAUUUAGCACUUCAUUCAAUUUCUGUUCCAGUGCUCGAUAUUCAUUCGUAGGCAUAUUAUUCUGACUUGUUCCAUUUUUUCCACAUUAGCCAACUUUUGCUCAAGAUCGUCAAAUUUAUUUUGCAACUGAGUUGUCAAAAACGCAAUAGUUUUGUCCGUAUCCCGUCGUAGCUCAUUGAUUUCCUGAUUGAGUAACUUUUUGUCUUCAAGAAAUUCCGAUUCUGAAAGGAAUUGACCACUACUAGAUAUUUGCCCUUUUCCUGUAUCCAGAAGAAAGCCUCGGCAAUGUAUGAUAAACACAAAGAGAACAGAAAUCAUCAUUUUAGCUCUUAAAAAACCC
This 398-nucleotide long non-coding RNA is filed under the name Mytilus galloprovincialis (Mediterranean mussel). The record is from RNAcentral. Lineage: Eukaryota; Metazoa; Mollusca; Bivalvia; Mytilida; Mytilidae.